Molecule: microRNA, 24 nt
Filed under: Oryza sativa (Asian cultivated rice)
Lineage: Eukaryota; Viridiplantae; Streptophyta; Magnoliopsida; Poales; Poaceae
Description: osa-miR5814
Source: miRBase by way of RNAcentral
AAUCAAGUUAGGAACCAUGCAAGU